Acanthosepion pharaonis is the source of this 114-nucleotide non-coding RNA. The record is from the annotation of a GenBank genome assembly. Lineage: Eukaryota; Metazoa; Mollusca; Cephalopoda; Sepiida; Sepiidae.
UUACGGCCAUAUCACGUUGAAACACCGGUUCACGUAUGAUCACCGAAGUUAAGUAACGUCGAGCAGGGCCAGCAUGUAGGUGGGUUACUGUUUGGGAAUACCAGGUGUUGUAAG